RNAcentral lists this small nuclear RNA (99 nucleotides) under Aotus nancymaae (Ma's night monkey). The record is from RNAcentral. Lineage: Eukaryota; Metazoa; Chordata; Mammalia; Primates; Aotidae.
GUCCUUUGGCAGCACAUAUACUAAAAUUGGAAUGACAGACAAUUAGCAUGGCCCCUGCACAGGGAUGACAGGCGAAUUCAUGAAGCAUUCCAUAUUUUU